This 272-nucleotide ribosomal RNA is filed under the name uncultured bacterium. Its description in RNAcentral is "partial 16S ribosomal RNA". It matches the Rfam family "Bacterial small subunit ribosomal RNA", at positions 32 to 295 of the family's 1533-position model. The record is from RNAcentral.
AAUCAACGCUGGCGGCGUGCCUCAGACAUGCAAGUCGAACGACUAAAGCUCUCUUCGGAGAGUGCACAGAGUGGCGCACGGGUGAGUAACACGUAAGUAAUCUACCCUCGAGUGGGGAAUAACGUCCGGAAACGGACGCUAAUACCGCAUAAUGCAGCGGCACCGCAAGGUGACAGUUGUUAAAGAUUUAUCGCUUGAGGAGGAGCUUGCGGUCAGAUUAGCUAGUUGGUAAGGUAAUGGCUUACCAAGGCUACGAUCUGUAACCGGUCUUA